GUGCACAUUUCAUUGUCCUUUUUUAUGUCAAGAAGAAAGAUGUGCCAAACUAACCUUUGGAGGCAAAUUAGCAGCAUGGCUUAGUUAGCCAUUGCUGUCAGUCACCUUCAGAUUAGC
RNAcentral lists this small nucleolar RNA (117 nucleotides) under Sorex araneus (European shrew). The record is from RNAcentral. Lineage: Eukaryota; Metazoa; Chordata; Mammalia; Eulipotyphla; Soricidae.